This 1000-nucleotide unclassified non-coding RNA is filed under the name synthetic construct. The record is from RNAcentral.
AUUCCUAGGACUGUACUCUCGGUGCGUUGACCAUACGUAAGGCGAUCCUUUGAGUGGAUCCCAUUACUACGCGUCACACCUGCUUACCCUCCCAAUAGUUGGUUCAGUAGCUCUCAGCGGUUCUGGCAGAGUUCGGAUGAGUUUCUGCCUAUCAGUUCAUAGGUGCCCACGCAUUGGGUCCACUCCUCGCCAGAAUUUGCGCAUUGCACCAUUACUACAGGCGGCUUUGGUUGUACGUCUAACGUUCGCACCAACAGGAGUCUCAGCUGAUCAUAGGCCCGGACCCUCAAUGUUCGAUGCGAUUCGUAAGAGGGUGUUCGUGUAAGGCCCAAUACGUUGUCAUGCCGGCUUAGAAACCCAGUCGGACGCGUCUCUAACACUCGGAUGUGCAGGUAAUAGCCUUUACCAGCGCUUCUGUACGACCAUACUUAGAGCUCGAGAUGCCGACAUGAAAGGAUUCCGGAGUACUGACCUGAAUACACGUUCAUAGCGUAAAUCGGCCGAGAUUCAACUUUACGGCACGGAUACAGCUCCUCUACCUAUUUCCGUCGAAGUCUCUCACGAUAGUCGCGUACAUUUAGUGGGCGGUACACACAGCACGUCAACGCCAUCGCACUCUGAGUUCCCACUCCACGGUACGUUCACAGCACGUUGCCUUAAUAAGCUACUUCGGUUCCGAGCAGUCAACCUACUGUUUCCGGGUUAGCGCUCUGAUCAGCACCCGUUUACUGACACGAACCGCUAUCGAAUACUGAGUAGGUCGUGUGCCAAUAACUUUGGUUGCAGCUAAGCUAAUCGGACGGCGACUUUAGCAAGUAACUCAGCCGUAUUGUUACGCUGACCGUAAACGACGUGAGCGAUUGUCGUAGGUUAGCCAUAACAUAAAGGUUUCCCGAACGGUAGCAUAGUUAGGCCUGUGUCCAGUCAGGUAAUACGAGAGAGUAAUUAACGCGAUCUAAUGAGAAGCCGUGCAUGUCGAUCCUUGUUACGGGUGUGAAAU